Long non-coding RNA from Helianthus annuus (common sunflower), 240 nucleotides. RefSeq lists it as uncharacterized. The transcript is spliced from 3 exons. Lineage: Eukaryota; Viridiplantae; Streptophyta; Magnoliopsida; Asterales; Asteraceae. The record is from RefSeq and is a predicted model, not a curated record.
UUUAGAACUGUGAUCCUCAUUGCAAGAGGAUUAAGAGGCAAAGAGUCCGGUUCAUCUAGCGGACAAGCCGGAGGGAAUUCACGAGGAAAAGGCGUGCUCUAAAGGUAAACUAGCAGAAGGGUGAUGAUCAAGCACAUGCAUCUGAACCGAACACACUAACAAACGCUUCCGCACAUGAUCUUUAGUUUUAAAAACUAUGUAAACAAUUGUAGUUAUCCUUUUGAUUACGGUUUCGUAAGA